UACGGAGGGUGCAAGCGUUAAUCGGAAUUACUGGGCGUAAAGCGUGCGCAGGCGGUUCGUUAAGUCCGUUGUGAAAGCCCCGAGCUCAACUUGGGAAUUGCAGUGGAUACUGGCAGGCUGGAGUACGGUAGAGGAAGGUGGAAUUCCCGGUGUAGCAGUGAAAUGCGUAGAUAUCGGGAGGAACACCAGUGGCGAAGGCGGCCUUCUGGACCAGUACUGACGCUCAUGCACGAAAGCGUGGGGAGCAAACAGG
Molecule: ribosomal RNA, 253 nt
Filed under: uncultured bacterium
Lineage: Bacteria
Description: partial 16S ribosomal RNA
Rfam family: Bacterial small subunit ribosomal RNA
Source: RNAcentral